GGGGGUGUAGCUCAGUGCUACAGCGCCUGCUGGUAAGUGUGAGGUCCUGAGUUUGAUUCCCAGUACCCCCC
Molecule: transfer RNA, 71 nt
Filed under: Heterocephalus glaber (naked mole-rat)
Lineage: Eukaryota; Metazoa; Chordata; Mammalia; Rodentia; Bathyergidae
Rfam family: tRNA
About the family: Transfer RNA (tRNA) molecules are approximately 80 nucleotides in length. Their secondary structure includes four short double-helical elements and three loops (D, anti-codon, and T loops).
Source: Rfam by way of RNAcentral